CUCCUUUCGACCAUCAUAAUCGCACUCGAUGAUAGCCUUGAAAUUUCUCCAUGUUCAAUUUUGAGUAGAAUAGCAGCUCUUUGUUUUCCUUUGGUGCUUCUUUUCAUUUGGGUAUGGAGCACCUCCCUGUUGAAGUGAUAGGAAACAUACUAUCUCGGCUUAAGGCUGCCCGAGAUGUUGUCAUUGCAUCCACCACUUGCAAGAAAUGGCGUGAAGCUUGGCGUACCCACCUCCACACU
Molecule: unclassified non-coding RNA, 239 nt
Filed under: Hevea brasiliensis (rubber tree)
Lineage: Eukaryota; Viridiplantae; Streptophyta; Magnoliopsida; Malpighiales; Euphorbiaceae
Source: RNAcentral